UCCCUGGUGGUCCAGUGGCUAAGACUCCACGCUCUUGAUGCAGGAGGCCUAGGUUCGAUCCCUAGUUUGGGAA
Bos taurus (domestic cattle) is the source of this 73-nucleotide non-coding RNA. NCBI's taxonomy places the organism in Eukaryota, Metazoa, Chordata, Mammalia, Artiodactyla, Bovidae. The record is from Rfam.